Molecule: long non-coding RNA, 361 nt
Organism: Heterocephalus glaber (naked mole-rat)
Lineage: Eukaryota; Metazoa; Chordata; Mammalia; Rodentia; Bathyergidae
Source: RefSeq, a predicted model, not a curated record
CUGACUACCCAGAAGGGAGUUUUGUUGUGUUGCUUUUUCAUUUGCUCCCUUUCCCACAUCAUAACAUGGGCACAUCAUCCCUCUCUCCUGGAACACACCAAACCCAGCCCUCUUCCAGCUCCUUGCAGGAUUUCUCCAAAUUUUGGAUUCUUCCUUCUCCUCUGCUCAAUGCCAUCUUUCUAUCAUUUUUCUCCAGCUCCUGAAUCCCAGGCCAUGAGCUUCCACCUUUGAGGAGAGAAAAGGAGCAUUUGCCUGAAGUCCUGGUCCUAAUCUCCUAAAGGUAUUGUGCACAUUGAAUAAUAGGAAGCUCUUGACAAAAGAGAAAGACAAGAGAGGUGACAAAUAUGGCCUGCAAAACAGG